This 3880-nucleotide long non-coding RNA is filed under the name Homo sapiens (human). RNAcentral's name for it is "HSALNT0172561". The record is from RNAcentral. Lineage: Eukaryota; Metazoa; Chordata; Mammalia; Primates; Hominidae.
AUGUAUUAUAUAACAUAUAUAUAAUACAUAUAUAAUAGAUGUUAUAUAUAACACGUUAUUAUAUAUAUUAUAUAUAUAACGUGUGUGUGUGUAUGUGUGUGUAUGUAUAUAUAUAUGAAGUGUUUAUUGUGUCUCCCCUCCACUAGAGUCUAAGCUUUAUUAAAGCAGGGUCUGAUUUUGUUUGCUGUUGUACUCCCAGUGCCUAAGACUGCCUGGCACAUAGCAGGUGCUCAAUAAAUACUUGCAGUUGAUCAGACAAUUAAAAAAACAAAAGCUAGCAAAAGCUCUGUAUAAGGAUAUAAUAGAGAGAAAAAUAAAUGGCAGAUGAAAAACACUCUCCAGAAAAAUACUGCUUCAAAUAUUUGAAAAUUAUGAUUAAAUAUUUUACAAUGACUUUAAUAUCUUAAUUAAAGAUUCAUCUCUACAAGAACAUACAUCAGAAAUAGAAGAUAAGGCCAGGCACAGUGGUUCAUGCCUGUAAUCUCAGCACUUUGGGAGGCCGAGGCAGGCAGAUCACUUGAGGCCAGGAGUUUGAGACCAGCCUGGCCAACAUGGAGAAACCCCAUCUCUACUAGUAAUACAAAAAUUAGCCGGGUGUGGUGGCAUGCGCCUGUAAUCCCAGCCACUUGGGAGGCUGAAGCAGGAGAGUCACUUGCACCUGGGAGGCAGAGGUUGCAGUGACCCGAGAUGGUGCCACUGCCCUCCAGCCUGAGUGACAAGAGUGAAACUGUGUCUCGAAAAGAAAAAAGGAAGAUACAAUGAAAUGACAAAGAGUGAAAUGUGAGCUGGCAGAACUCAGGAAAUCAAAAAUAACCGCAAAAAUGAAAGUGGGAAUGAUGGGGUAUACAGUGUUUGAAUCAUGAUAAGGGAAAUAAGGAAGAGGAAUCAUAAAGAAAAAUAACAUAGAGAUAGGAAAUGACACAUGCACAUAACUGGAGUUCCUAAAGUAGAAAACGUCCGUCCAUUUUCUAUUUUUAUAGAUGAAAGCACUGAGAAACUUUGCUCACAUGAUAAAAAGUCAAUAAUAGGUUUUAGGAAUGUCAAUCUUCUGAACUCUUAGGCCAAAAAUCAUAGUGAUCUUGCAUCAAAAUUUAUUUUUAAUAAAUUAGCUGACAAUUCACUUGUCUGCUAGUUUCAUUGAGGGCAUCUGACAGAUGACAGAAACCAUCUGACUUGCAAAGGGAGUCAUUCAGGCCUCAACAUAAACAUGAAUGUUUCAAAUUGUCCCUUUGUUUGGACCCAUGAAAUAUUUUAUUCCCUGGGACAAUUAAACACAGUAGGUCUGGCAUGGCUGAGAGGUAUUGCCUUUCCUCUAGUGGGAGAAAGGCUGUGAAAUAAGAGGUAGUUGUCUUAAGGCAGAUCAAUUUAGGAACAAAUACAUAUGGAUGUACAGGAUUGGGAAAUUAUCUACCGAACCCCUUCAUGUACUAAGCACGUACAUCCUACUGGUUAACAAUGCUAAGUACUGCUAACAGGUCAAGGGAAGAAUUUACAAGUACUUAUGUUUUAGGAAAAUGUCAAUAAUUGAUUUGAUUAAAGUUUUCAGUGCUCUUGUGUCUAGGGUGGGUAGGAGCCACACUGGAGUGGAUUGAGGAGGGAGGGGAUGGAAGUAAGAAAUAGAGGCAGUAAUAGAAAAGUUACUAAAAUUAGAUAUAGAUGAGAGAAUUACACCAAACAUAGGUGGUACCUAGGAGCAACUUGCUUAAAAAGAUAUGAAAUACUUGAACAAAUGCCAAAAGAAAAGGGUCACAGAUUAAGGGGGAGGUUGAAGACUCAAGGGAAGAUAAUAAGCACUACAUUCACAAGGUUUAAAAGAUUCAACAGUAGGCUGGGUGUGGUGGUUCACAACUGUAAUCCCAACAUUUUGGGAGGCUGAGGCAGGAGGAUUGCUUGAGACCAGGAGUUCAAGACCAGCCUGGGCAACAUAGCCAGUCUCUACAAAUUAAUUAAAAAAUUAGCCAGGUGUGGUGGCACACACCUGUGGUCCCAGCUACUCAGGAGGCUGAGGUGGGAGGGGCUUGAGCCCGUUGAAGUUAAAGCUGCAGUGAGCCAUGACCAUGAUCAUGCUGCUGAACUCCAGCUUGGGUGACAGAGCAGGACCCCAUCUCGGGGCGGCAGAGGGGGUGGUGGGAACCAGGAGCCAGCACUUACUGAUCACUUAUCUAUGCACUAAGCUUUUUGUUCAUUUUACCUAAGUCUCACAAUAACUAACUAUGCAAAGGGGGUUACUGUUACUAUCCUCAUUUUACUUACCCAGAAAGGAGACCCAGAGAGAUCAACUUAUGCUCAAGGUCACCGAGUUUAGCCCUGUGGUAGAGUUGGGAUGUCACAACCUAGAGCACAGAAUCUUGUCCAUGGCUGUGGAUUUAGUAAGUGAAGUUCAGGGAAUUUGUGCCUGAAGGUCUCUAUUUUUAUGUAAGAUAGAAGGCAAGGACAUGUUAAGAGUGAAGGAAAAAAAGAGGGUAACAAGUUUCAGAGUAUAAGUUUUACAUAGUAAGAAUGGAGAACCGACUAGAGAAAAUAAGGGUAAUGGGCAGUGCUGAGGUCAGUUAAAACCAAUUUUUACUAAUACGGAUUUAUACAUUUGGUGAUCUUUCUCCAGAAAUAACUGGUGAGGGUAGGAGGGCUUGGAUACAUCUAGGGCUGGGAAUUUUCCAGGAAGUCGUUUGGGUUAACAAUCAUGAUACUGAAUUGAUAGAUCAGGAAGCCUAGAUAGGACUUACAGAGGUGGAAACAGACUACGCCCUAACACAGAGCAGGUAUAAAGGAGGAGGAGUUGGUUAGAAGUGAAUACUUUUAUUGAGUGAUUUUAGAAGUUGUUUUCGGAUAUUCCAAGUAUUUAGGAUGUGGCUGUGGUGGAAACAAGUAAUGGAACCAAAGCCCUGUGUGUAAGUAGUCACUGAAGCUAACCAGGUAGCUGAAAUUUAUUUCCCCCAAAUUUACUGAAAGAAUGUGACCUUUGUGCUCUCAAACUGUGGUUCAGGCACUCCAGAAUUUUUUUCUGUACCUUCAAUUCUCUCAGAUUUAAAAAAUUAUACUAGAGAAGAGGACUUUUGCCUAUGAAUACAAACAACAUUGCAAUCUGCAUCUGCAAACAUUCUUUUCAAUAGACGGUUAGGUCAUGGAUACAAGUAAACACUUGGAUAUAAGGCAAACAUUUAAAAGUGCAUUUCAGGUAUUAAGUCAUGAAUGAUAUGGAAAAGUUGCCACUAAACUUUCCACUGAAUAGUGUUUCACAGCACAAAAAUAAUCUAUUUUCCUGAUACUUUUUUAGUAUGGAUACCAAGACAGCAUGACAUCAGUUGUCUAAUUUUUUUCCAAUUUGAUUUAAAAAACCCACAUGUUCAGGCUUAAAAGAUAGCAUUAUGUUUAAUGGGUGCUAGGAAACCAGGCCACAUGGACCAACAGACCUAAAUUUACUCUAACCCUGAAUUUUGUUAGCACCCAAUAAAUGAAUUAAUUGAAAUCUGGAUUUCUCUAUACGGAGAUGAAGAAAGUCUUUUAGUGUAGUUAUUUUAAAACAAGUUGCUCCUAUUUCCUUAUCAGAAACAAGACCAUAUCAACAACCCAACAUUUAAAUAAUGAACUGAAAAUACUUUUAAAAACCAUAAAACUCAUCUCUAUCCCAUUCUUAAGUAAAAAUCAGUCUUCACUUUCUACUUAGUUAUAAGCAAUCCCACAGACAUUUGAAAAUCAGUGGGCAAACUAAAAUUGUUGAAUAAAGCCAAACUUUUUCAAACCAAGUAUUUGUUAAAUGUCAUAUGUAUUGUCUACUAUAAAGUGAUUCAAUAUUUUACUAUAGAGGAUAGCAUCUAUUUUUCAAAAAUGUGAGAAAUUAAAAAAAUAACAAGGCAACAACUUUGGGGUCUGAUACAUGAAA